This 72-nucleotide non-coding RNA is filed under the name Clostridium sp. RNAcentral describes it as "Fluoride sequence". It matches the Rfam family "Fluoride riboswitch aptamer (crcB RNA motif)". Lineage: Bacteria; Bacillati; Bacillota; Clostridia; Eubacteriales; Clostridiaceae. The record is from RNAcentral.
ACAAAGCAAGGGAAUGAAGUUCUCCCGCGGGCGCUGCCCGAAACCGCUUUUGCUGAUGACUUCUGCAAUUUG